This 440-nucleotide ribosomal RNA is filed under the name uncultured bacterium. Its description in RNAcentral is "partial 16S ribosomal RNA". It matches the Rfam family "Bacterial small subunit ribosomal RNA", at positions 338 to 795 of the family's 1533-position model. The record is from RNAcentral.
CCUACGGGUGGCAGCAGUGGGGAAUAUUGGACAAUGGGGGAAACCCUGAUGCAGCGACGCCGCGUGAGUGAAGAAGUAAUUCGUUAUGUAAAGCUCUAUCAGCAGGGAAGAAAAGGAAGGUACGUGAGUAAGAAGCUCCGGCUAACUACGAGCCAGCAGCCGCGGUAAUACGUAGGGGGCAAGCGUUAUCCGGAUUUACUGGGUGUAAAGGGAGCGUAGACGGCAGUGCAAGUCUGGAGUGAAAGGAGUGGGCUCAACCCACGGACUGCACUGGAAACUGUACGGCUGGAGUGCAGGAGAGGUAAGUGGAAUUCCUAGUGUAGCGGUGAAAUGCGUAGAUAUUAGGAGGAACACCAGUGGCGAAGGCGGCUUACUGGACUGUAACUGACGUUGAGGCUCGAAAGCGUGGGGAGCGAAAGGGAUUAGAUACCCGUGUAGUC